This 1307-nucleotide ribosomal RNA is filed under the name Adicella ragma. Its description in RNAcentral is "16S ribosomal RNA". Lineage: Eukaryota; Metazoa; Arthropoda; Insecta; Trichoptera; Leptoceridae. The record is from RNAcentral.
AAAUUUUUUUAAUUAAUAAAUAUAGAGAAAAUAAUAAUUUAAAUUUAUAAUUAAAGUAUUAAUAAAUAAAUAUAAUUUUAUUUAGUAUAUUUAAUAAAAAUUUUUUUUUAUAAUUGAUAGAUAAAUAGUAAAGUAAUUGAAUAUUGAAAUAAUAUUUGAAAUAUUAAAUUUUUUUAAAAGAAAUUUUUAUUUUGUAUCUUGUGUAUCAGAGAUUAUUUAAAUUAAUUUAAGGAUAUUUAAAAAUCUCAAAAAUUUAAGAAAUAAUUAAUUAUUAUAGUUAUUGUAGUAAGAAUAUUAUAAAUAAUUAGUUUGAAAUGAAAUGUUAUUCGAUUAAAUUAAUAUUUAGUUUAAAAAGAAAUAAAUUUAAUUUAUUUUAUUUAAGAAAUUAUAUUUUUAUAUAAAAAGUUAUUUAAAUAAAAAAAUUUUUUAGGGAUAAGCUUAAAAAUUUAUUAUAUAGUUAAAAUAAUAAAUUAAAUUUUAAUUAAUUAAAAUUUAAUUUAUUAAAAUUUUAUUUUUUAAUAAUUUAAAAUAAUUAAAAUUGAUUAAAUUAAUAUUUUUAUUUAUUUUUAAAUAAUUUAAAAAUAAUAAUAAUGAUAAUAUUAGUAUAAUUAUUAAAUAUUACAAGAAUAUUAUAAGUAGUACUUAUUUUUUUAGAAUUCGGCAAGUUUAUAUAUUUACAUGUUUAACAAAAACAUGUCUUUUUGAUUUUUAUUUAAAGUCUAAUCUGCUCUCUGAAUGAAUUUAAAGGCCGCAAUUUAAUUGUGCAAAGGUAGCAUAAUAAUUAGUUUUUUAAUUGAAAACUAGAAUGAAUGAUUGAAUAAGAUAUAUACUUUUAUAACUAUAAUAAUAAAAUUUUAAUUUUUAGUGAAAAAGUUAAAAUAUUUAAAUUAGACGAAAAGACCCUAUAAAUUUUUAUUUAGUAAAAUUAUUUAAUUUAUAAAUUAUUUAAUGUUUAUUAAAAUUUAUUGGGGUGAUAAAAAAAUUUGAAAAACUUUUUUAUUAUAAAAAUACAUUAAUAUAUGAGAGGACAUUUAUAACGUUAAUUUAAAAAUUAAGAUUAAAAUACUUUAGGGAUAACAGCGUUAUUUUAAUUUUAAGUUCAUAUUGAAAUUAAAGAUUGCGACCUCGAUGUUGGAUUAAAAUAAAAUUUAAAUGAAAAAGGUUAAAUUUUAGGUCUGUUCGACCUUAAUUUUUUACAUGAUCUGAGUUCAAACCGGUGUGAGCCAGGUUGGUUUCUAUCUUUUUUUAUAUAAAAAAAAUUAGUACGAAAGGAUUAUUUAUUUUAAAUAAUUUAUUUUUAAAUUGAA